This 160-nucleotide ribosomal RNA is filed under the name Phytophthora drechsleri var. cajani. Its description in RNAcentral is "5.8S ribosomal RNA". It matches the Rfam family "5.8S ribosomal RNA". Rfam says of the family: 5.8S ribosomal RNA (5.8S rRNA) is a component of the large subunit of the eukaryotic ribosome. It is transcribed by RNA polymerase I as part of the 45S precursor that also contains 18S and 28S rRNA. Lineage: Eukaryota; Oomycota; Peronosporomycetes; Peronosporales; Peronosporaceae. The record is from RNAcentral.
CAACUUUUCACAAUGGAUGUCUAGGCUCGCACAUCCAUGAAAAACGCUGCCAACUGGCAUACGUAAUGGCAAUUGCAGGAAUCAGUGAGUCCUCCAAAUUUUUAAAGCAUAUUGGCCUUCCGGGUUAGUCCUGGGAAUAUGCCUGGAUUCAUGUCCGUAC